Onychostoma macrolepis is the source of this 743-nucleotide long non-coding RNA. RefSeq lists it as uncharacterized. NCBI's taxonomy places the organism in Eukaryota, Metazoa, Chordata, Actinopteri, Cypriniformes, Cyprinidae. The record is from RefSeq and is a predicted model, not a curated record. The transcript has 3 exons.
GUCAUGUAAGUGUGGCAGGAGGGGCAAGUUUUCUUGCGUCAUUAUUGGUUUAACCUAUGGCCAGCGCACCUGGACUAUAAAAACGGGAGCAUAUGUGCUACCUGGGGUGUGUCAUUGGUGAACCACUGUGGUUCGCUAAGGCGCUUUUGUCACUUCCCGGAACUGGAUGAGAGUACUUGAGACAGUAAGGAGAACGCGCUUCUAGUUGUGUUAUAGGUUACAGCAUGUUUAGUUACGAGCGGUAUACUGUCUAACGUAGGCUUUAGAAACGAUUUGUGUGGAGAGUGCUUCUGUCCUUACUCUACGAGUUUUAUUUCCGUGCCGCUCGUUGCGGUCUAUACAGGCUGGGUGUAGACGGAGAAGAAGCUGGGGAAAACCUGACGCAGUUGUUGGAUCUGUGUUUUCUGCACUGGCCUUUGCUGGAAAAGUACAGUUUUGUUGGCUCUUGAUAAAACCUUAAUCCCCUCGAUGAUCGGGCCUGAGCACCAGGGGCAGAGGACUGAUUCUAUUUUAGGUGGCGGUAUCUUCCUCACCGUGUGCAGUGACUUGUUUUAACAUUUGGUUGUGUGUGUGUGUGUGUACACAGUGAUGUGAAGUGAUUCACCUGUGGGUAGUGUGGCUUGACUAUCCGCCUCUACUGGUAAGCUCUAGUCCCUGGCCCUUGAUUUGUUUCAGGACUCUGAGUGGCCAAAGUUCUGAAACUGAUGUUUCAGUAUUUAUUAACCUUGUUUUUAUUCGCAAUU